Molecule: ribosomal RNA, 253 nt
Filed under: uncultured bacterium
Lineage: Bacteria
Description: partial 16S ribosomal RNA
Rfam family: Bacterial small subunit ribosomal RNA
Source: RNAcentral
UACGAAGGGGGCUAGCGUUGCUCGGAAUCACUGGGCGUAAAGCGCACGUAGGCGGCUUCUUAAGUCAGGGGUGAAAUCCUGGAGCUCAACUCCAGAACUACCUCUGAUACUGAGGAGCUCGAGUCCGGGAGAGGUGAGUGGAACUCCGAGUGUAGAGGUGAAAUUCGUAGAUAUUCGGAAGAACACCAGUGGCGAAGGCGGCUCACUGGCCCGGUACUGACGCUGAGGUGCGAAAGCGUGGGGAGCAAACAGG